UCGUGGGAUGGGGAUGGGGUCCCCCGACAACUGCUGAAAGGCUGAUGGCUCCUGCCAGACC
This 61-nucleotide non-coding RNA is filed under the name Hyphomicrobium sp. Its description in RNAcentral is "Fluoride sequence". It matches the Rfam family "Fluoride riboswitch aptamer (crcB RNA motif)". Lineage: Bacteria; Pseudomonadati; Pseudomonadota; Alphaproteobacteria; Hyphomicrobiales; Hyphomicrobiaceae. The record is from RNAcentral.